UCCUCUGCAGGUCUACUCCACCCACGGAGGUCAGACCUGAUCACGUGGUCAGAUCUGAUCACGUGGUCCGGCCGUCACCAGCUCAGUUUCCGUCUCCGCUGUACUCCGUUUACGCUUCUGCAGCACCAGGCUGCACUGUCAGCCCUACAUCACACACCCGUACUUUGCCUGGCUAACUGCUUGAAGACUCAAGGUCACUGAUCCAGGAAGGCACCCCUAAACCUCCUCUCAUCCUCUGUCCCUCUGUGCUCCCCACAUACAGUAGAAUGAUGCUACUGAGCGUAACGGUCAAGCGUCCAGUCUUCUGAGCCUCCUUUGUUUGUGGGUCUUUCACAACACGGAACAGAGCAAAGUUCUAUCCAACUAUGAAUUUCUUUUUGCUAGAGAACAUAGAAAUGGUUGAUAUUUUAUACUGAUGGGAAGUGGUGACUUCAAAAUAUGCCUAUCAAAAUUGUCAUUAUUUUGUGUAGGUCAUUAGUGUACGUAUCUAUGUAGACUGUAUACACUGAAUACAGAACAUCUGCCAAUGAGGAAGAUCAUCUUUAAGGCAUAUUUACGAAUUACAAAUAAGAAUUCUGCAAUUACAAGAAAAUUUUCUAAGCCUCAACUUUAGAAACAAGAAUUCAAAUUUGCAUGCAGGAUCCUAGUUCCCUGGCCAAGGAUUGAACCCGUGCCCCCUGCACUGGAAGCACAAGUCUUAACCACUGGACCUUUGGUGAAGUCCCUAUCGUUACUGAGUUUAACGCAGCCUUGGUUACUGUGAUAAGCUUCUCCUGAAAAUAACAGAAAGAAAUACACAAAUAGGAAGGCAUCCCAUUGCAAAGUCAACAUAUUAUCCAUCUAAGACAGAAACUGCUAUACAGGAGUCACUGGGGAGAUGCCGGAGCAGACAGAAACAAGCCCCGGGCCCCCUGGCAUCGGGCGAGGGGCACUGAGGGGACAGACGUGGCAGCCAAGCUCUGGAAAACACUUGGGAAGCCAUCCCACUGACCAACAUGAGUACUGAGGACUCUGCACUUCCCAUUCUUUCAGCUGACUUAAAGAACUGUCACUUUGGUCAUCAGUCCAAGCUGCAUGUGAAACAUUCAAGAUAAGUUCAUUUUGGAAGGGGGCGGCAGGAGGGACCGUAGAUGUCAAGGUUGAGAGAUGUAAUGUUUUUAGAGCUUAAUGAGAAGCAGUAUCAUUAAAGAAUUCACAUCUGUACAACAUUAAAA
Bos taurus (domestic cattle) is the source of this 1214-nucleotide long non-coding RNA. Lineage: Eukaryota; Metazoa; Chordata; Mammalia; Artiodactyla; Bovidae. The record is from Ensembl.